GCCCGAGUGGCGAAAUUGGUAGACGCAAGGGACUUAAAAUCCCUCGACCUCAUGGUCAUGCCGGUUCGAUUCCGGCCUCGGGCA
This 84-nucleotide transfer RNA is filed under the name Steroidobacter denitrificans. It matches the Rfam family "tRNA". Rfam says of the family: Transfer RNA (tRNA) molecules are approximately 80 nucleotides in length. The record is from Rfam by way of RNAcentral. Lineage: Bacteria; Pseudomonadati; Pseudomonadota; Gammaproteobacteria; Steroidobacterales; Steroidobacteraceae.